This 310-nucleotide ribosomal RNA is filed under the name uncultured bacterium. RNAcentral describes it as "partial 16S ribosomal RNA". It matches the Rfam family "Bacterial small subunit ribosomal RNA", at positions 503 to 807 of the family's 1533-position model. The record is from RNAcentral.
AAGAGACAGCAGCCGCCGCGGGAAUACGAAGGGGGCUAGCGUUGUUCGGAUUAACUGGGCGUAAAGGGUGCGUAGGCGGAUUUUUAAGUCAGGGGUGAAAUCCCAAGGCUCAACCUUGGAACUGCCUUUGAUACUGGGAAUCUUGAGUCUGGGGGAGGUGAGUGGAACUGCGAGUGUAGAGGUGAAAUUCGUAGAUAUUCGCAAGAACACCGGUGGCGAAGGCGGCUCACUGGCCCGGUACUGACGCUGAGGCACGAAAGCGUGGGGAGCAAACAGGAUUAGAUACCCCAGUAGUCCCUGUCUCUUAUAC